RNAcentral lists this ribosomal RNA (429 nucleotides) under Acidobacteriota bacterium. Its description in RNAcentral is "Acidobacteria bacterium partial 16S ribosomal RNA". It matches the Rfam family "Bacterial small subunit ribosomal RNA", at positions 355 to 776 of the family's 1533-position model. The record is from RNAcentral. Lineage: Bacteria; Pseudomonadati; Acidobacteriota.
UGGGGAAUUUUGGACAAUGGGGGAAACCCUGAUCCAGCCAUCCCGCGUGUGCGAUGAAGGCCUUCGGGUUGUAAAGCACUUUUGGCAGGAAAGAAACGUCAUGGGUUAAUACCCCGUGAAACUGACGGUACCUGCAGAAUAAGCACCGGCUAACUACGUGCCAGCAGCCGCGGUAAUACGUAGGGUGCAAGCGUUAAUCGGAAUUACUGGGCGUAAAGCGUGCGCAGGCGGUUCGGAAAGAAAGAUGUGAAAUCCCAGAGCUCAACUUUGGAACUGCAUUUUUAACUACCGGGCUAGAGUGUGCCAGAGGGAGGUGGAAUUCCGCGUGUAGCAGUGAAAUGCGUAGAUAUGCGGAGGAACACCGAUGGCGAAGGCAGCCUCCUGGGAUAACACUGACGCUCAUGCACGAAAGCGUGGGGAGCAAACAGG